UGCCCAGCAACUCCUAUCCCUACCUCGUCGUGGUACCGACCGGAAACUAUGAGCAACCUUAGGGAAGAUCGGGUAACCAACCCCGGUGGGAGCUUUGGUCGUAGGCUGACAGGGAAGG
Non-coding RNA from Aedes albopictus (Asian tiger mosquito), 118 nucleotides. The record is from Rfam. Lineage: Eukaryota; Metazoa; Arthropoda; Insecta; Diptera; Culicidae.